Molecule: ribosomal RNA, 460 nt
Filed under: uncultured bacterium
Lineage: Bacteria
Description: partial 16S ribosomal RNA
Rfam family: Bacterial small subunit ribosomal RNA
Source: RNAcentral
CCUACGGGAGGCAGCAGUGAGGAAUAUUGGUCAAUGGGCGCGAGCCUGAACCAGCCAAGUAGCGUGAAGGAUGACUGCCCUACGGGUUGUAAACUUCUUUUAUAUGGGAAUAAAAUGUUCCACGUGUGGGAUUUUGUAUGUACCAUAUGAAUAAGGCUCGGCUAACUCCGUGCAAGCAGCCGCGGUAAUACGGAGGAUCCGAGCUUUCUCCGGAUUUAUUGGGUUUAAAGGGAGCGUAGGUGGAGUGUUAAGUCAGUUGUGAAAGUUUGCGGCUCAACCGGAAAAUUGCAGUUGAAACUGGCAGUCGUGAGUACAGUAGAGGUGGGCGGAAUUCGUGGUGUAGCGGUGAAAUGCUUAGAUAUCACGAAGAACUCCGAUUGCGAAGGCAGUUCACUGGACUGCAACUGACACUGAGGCUCGAAAGUGUGGGUAUCAAACAGGAUUAGAUACCCUUGUAGUC